This is a non-coding RNA of Solanum lycopersicum (tomato), 1723 nucleotides long. NCBI's taxonomy places the organism in Eukaryota, Viridiplantae, Streptophyta, Magnoliopsida, Solanales, Solanaceae. The record is from RefSeq and is a predicted model, not a curated record.
AGCAAUUAGCAUAGACCACAAUAACUAAGAUAUGAUUACCAUCUUCUAAUGUGUGAUGUAGUGUCAAACGUUGUUCAGAAUAUGCUACAACCCCCCACUUGAAUAUUGCACCCAAAUCUUUUCGUUUGUAUUAUAAUUAAUAUAUUGUAUCCCCUAGCCUUCUUUUGUACCUCCGAAUUUGCCUAUUACUUUAAAAUGGUUCCAUCAAUGCAAUUAUCAAAAACAUGUGUCAAUGUAGAACCCCAUGAAAGGAUGUGUUUUAACAGACCUAAUAUUCAAAACAAUGUUUUAUGAAUAAUUCAGAAAUUGAUUUUAUCUUCCUUAUGAUUUGAAAUCUUGUAGUAAUUGUUGUACUCGUCUCUCCUUUACCCUUGCCUUUUCUUAUUUUGCAGUACAUCUUUGGUGAUAAUCGUUACUUCUGUAUAUCUAUGUCAUUUUCUUCUUCUUUUUUCCUUUACUUCAAUGUUCUUUACUGAGAUUCUUUGCCAUGAUUACAGGGCCUUUGUUCAAAAAUUUGUGUGAAAUCAAUUCAUGUAACAUUUCGAUUGGAUCAGAUUUUCCAGCAAGAAAAGGUGUAUUAAUUCUUCAUCAUCACCUUGUUGUGGCUUUUUAUAUCCAUGUAUGUUAAAUUUAACCCUGCUCAUGUGACCAUGUUGAGGCUCAACCAUAUCUCCUAGUAUCUCUUCUUCAUCAACAUUAUUCUCUCUGCUGCUACUACAAGUGUGGGCAUUGGAACCUUCCUAUUGUUACUAUCACCGAUCUUUUGAUCUCCAUCCCUGUCGUACUACAUUCCUAAGCACAUUGAGGGUCAAAUUUUUCAGGUAUGACUCCCCAAGGACAAACCAAAAGGUCCUCGAGGAGGACAAACUUUUACUAAGAGGCUACCAAGGCAGCGUGCAGGCAACACCCAUUUUUGGAGGUGAUGGCGCGUCGCACGCCCAACACUUAGAAGCAAAAAGAUGACUUUGCAUCGCAGGCUUGUCACGAACCUUUCUGCCUCAAAUUAAAUUGCAUAAACAAGACUGGAAAGUGCCACCGCGACGCGCAACCAUAUCCUAGAUUUGGUUGUGUCGUUUCAAAGUCAAGUUAGACUUAAUUAGAAGGUCUAACUAGUGUAGGGGUGUUUUGGGUACUUUGGAAUUUCUUAUAAAUGGUUUUUGAGUCACUUUUACCCCACUUCACCAAUCAAAUACAAAAACCCUCAAUUCAAAAUCAAAAGCUCUCCGUUCCCUCUAAAUUCUCUCUCUCGAAAACCUCCAGUGAAGAACUUUCAAGCUCCAAGGAAGAAGGUCCAUUCUCAAAGGUUUCAACCCAAAUUUCGGGGAUAUGACUUCAAUAAGUUAUUCAUAGGUGAAGGGCAUUUCAGGAGCGAAGCUUGGAUUAUAGGAUCUUUCAAGCAAGUUUGAAGAGCCUUUAUGUAUUGAAUUGGUUGGAUUGGCUAAGGAUUGGAGAUGUUGAUGGUAUUGUGGUGUAGGUGACGAUUGAGAGGAGUCAUUGAAGUGAAGCUUUGGCAUUAGUAUUCAUUGAAGCAAGUUGGGGUAGGUCUUCAAUUAAUUCGAGGACAUAGUCAUGUUUAGAUUUUCUUGUUAAAGAUAUUAUAUUAGACUUUGUUAUUUCUAUUAUGUUGAUACAUGGGCCGUGACCCAAGAUAUUUGUGUGUCUAAGAUGGCGAAAACGAUACUUAAUAUUUCCUAUGUUUUCUAUAAAGAUAAUUUUGGAACUA